CCUACGGGUGGCAGCAGUGAGGAAUAUUGGUCAAUGGGCGCGAGCCUGAACCAGCCAAGUCGCGUGAAGGAUGACGGCCCUAUGGGUUGUAAACCUCUUUUGUCGGGGAACAAAACCCGGGACGUGUCCCGGACUGCGUGUACCCGAAGAAAAAGCAUCGGCUAACUCCGUGCCAGCAGCCGCGGUAAUACGGAGGAUGCGAGCGUUAUCCGGAUUUAUUGGGUUUAAAGGGUGCGGAGGCGGUCUGUUAAGUCAGCGGUAAAAUUGCGGGGCUCAACCCCGUCGAGCCGUGGAAACUGGCAGGCUUGAGUUGGCGAGAAGUAGGCGGAAUGCGCGGUGUAGCGGUGAAAUGCAUGGAUAUCGCGCAGAACUCCGAUUGCGAAGGCAGCAUACCGGAGCCAGACUGACGCUGAGGCACGAAAGCGUGGGGAUCGAACAGGAUUAGAUACCCGAGUAGUC
This 459-nucleotide ribosomal RNA is filed under the name uncultured bacterium. RNAcentral's name for it is "partial 16S ribosomal RNA". It matches the Rfam family "Bacterial small subunit ribosomal RNA", at positions 338 to 795 of the family's 1533-position model. The record is from RNAcentral.